UCGAACGCUUCUUUUCCCACCGGAGCUUGCUCCACCGGGAAAAGAGGAGUGGCGAACGGGUGAGUAACACGUGGGUAACCUGCCCAUCAGAAGGGGAUAACACUUGGAAACAGGUGCUAAUACCGUAUAACAAUCGAAACCGCAUGGUUUCGUUUUGAAAGGCGCUUUACGGUGCCGCUGAUGGAUGGACCCGCGGUGCAUUAGCUAGUUGGUGAGGUAACGGCUCACCAAGGCCACGAUGCAUAGCCGACCUGAGAGGGUGAUCGGCCACAUUGGGACUGAGACACGGCCCAAACUCCUACGGGAGGCAGCAGUAGGGAAUCUUCGGCAAUGGACGAAAGUCUGACCGAGCAACGCCGCGUGAGUGAAGAAGGUUUUCGGAUCGUAAAACUCUGUUGUUAGAGAAGAACAAGGGUGAGAGUAACUGUUCACCCCUUGACGGUAUCUAACCAGAAAGCCACGGCUAACUACGUGCCAGCAGCCGCGGUAAUACGUAGGUGGCAAGCGUUGUCCGGAUUUAUUGGGCGUAAAGCGAGCGCAGGCGGUUUCUUAAGUCUGAUGUGAAAGCCCCCGGCUCAACCGGGGAGGGUCAUUGGAAACUGGGAGACUUGAGUGCAGAAGAGGAGAGUGGAAUUCCAUGUGUAGCGGUGAAAUGCGUAGAUAUAUGGAGGAACACCAGUGGCGAAGGCGGCUCUCUGGUCUGUAACUGACGCUGAGGCUCGAAAGCGUGGGGAGCAAACAGGAUUAGAUACCCUGGUAGUCCACGCCGUAAACGAUGAGUGCUAAGUGUUGGAGGGUUUCCGCCCUUCAGUGCUGCAGCUAACGCAUUAAGCACUCCGCCUGGGGAGUACGACCGCAAGGUUGAAACUCAAAGGAAUUGACGGGGGCCCGCACAAGCGGUGGAGCAUGUGGUUUAAUUCGAAGCAACGCGAAGAACCUUACCAGGUCUUGACAUCCUUUGACCACUCUAGAGAUAGAGCUUCCCCUUCGGGGGCAAAGUGACAGGUGGUGCAUGGUUGUCGUCAGCUCGUGUCGUGAGAUGUUGGGUUAAGUCCCGCAACGAGCGCAACCCUUAUUGUUAGUUGCCAUCAUUUAGUUGGGCACUCUAGCAAGACUGCCGGUGACAAACCGGAGGAAGGUGGGGAUGACGUCAAAUCAUCAUGCCCCUUAUGACCUGGGCUACACACGUGCUACAAUGGGAAGUACAACGAGUCGCGAAGUCGCGAGGCUAAGCUAAUCUCUUAAAGCUUCUCUCAGUUCGGAUUGUAGGCUGCAACUCGCCUACAUGAAGCCGGAAUCGCUAGUAAUCGCGGAUCAGCACGCCGCGGUGAAUACGUUCCCGGGCCUUGUACACACCGCCCGUCACACCACGAGAGUUUGUAACACCCGAAGUCGGUGAGGUAACCUUUUGGAGCCAGG
Molecule: ribosomal RNA, 1419 nt
Filed under: bacterium
Lineage: Bacteria
Description: bacterial SSU rRNA
Rfam family: Bacterial small subunit ribosomal RNA
Source: RNAcentral